Molecule: unclassified non-coding RNA, 373 nt
Filed under: Zea mays
Lineage: Eukaryota; Viridiplantae; Streptophyta; Magnoliopsida; Poales; Poaceae
Description: misc RNA Zm00001eb144190
Source: RNAcentral
CAGUGGCACGACGUCUCCAUCGACGCCACCGCAACCUUCGGCGACCUGAAGGUGAUGCUGUCGCUGGCGACCGGGCUGUGGCCCAGGGAGCAGAGGCUGCUGUACAGGGGCAAGGAGAGGGACGACUGCGAGCACCUGCACAUGGUGGGGGUCCAGGACAAGGACAAGGUGCUGCUCCUGGAGGACCCGGCCGUCAAGGAGAGGAAGCUCAGGUCAACCACCUUGGCGCAGCUCAUGGGCGUGCCCUGUCACUCCUUCAUCCAAGUGUAGAGAGAAACCCCCGGGGAAUAUUUCUUGCCAUUUUUCUCCCGUCUCGUCGUCGUCGUUCUCCAAUUUGCCUGCGUGAGCGAAGGGUUUCAGUCCAGUCUAACCG